Carassius auratus (goldfish) is the source of this 327-nucleotide long non-coding RNA. RefSeq lists it as uncharacterized. The record is from RefSeq and is a predicted model, not a curated record. Lineage: Eukaryota; Metazoa; Chordata; Actinopteri; Cypriniformes; Cyprinidae. The transcript has 3 exons.
AAAAGAAAGCCUUGCCACCCCAGUUGGCAGCAACAAAUUAAAAGUUACGAGCACGAAUCUCCCAUGUCCGAGAGAGGAGAGGACGACAGAGCGCAAGAGACUAUAUUUUACAUUUGUUUGGAAAACUUUAUGAGUGCGCGCAAAGCGAAAGGAAACAUGAGUCAUGAAGAGACACAGGAGGAAAGAGCGGAUUUACACUAAAACACGAAAGAGCCUGAACCAUGACAGUGUCACAAGUUGCCUUACAUCGCAAACAAAAAGAUGCAAGACUGCAAACUUUCCAGUACUCCUGUGUACUGAUAAUCUGGUUUCCACCCAGUCCCAGGA